ACGUUUUCUUCUGCUCAUUAUUUCUCCUGUUUUACAGGAGGGCUGCCUUCUUGCUCCAGCUCCUCUGCUAUUGGUCAACAAACAAGAAGGAGCAGGAUCCAUGUGCAGAUCGAUUGUGCAUGCCUGGGUCUUUGACUUCUGUUUUAACAACCAACGUAUUGUAAUGGAGGGAGCGGAAAGACGGUCUGUGUCGGACUUGUUAAGGGAAGCUGCAAAUAGAUUGGAUGAGUUGAAACGCGCAUCUGCCGGUUCAACUCCACAAGCACAAGGCCCCACCAUAACGCCAAGGAUCAACACAAUGUCAACAACACCUGGAAUGUCAAAUGUUGCAGGACGACAUCCUGUUGAUGUUGAGGUGUCAAGACUGUUUACAAGCAGAUCAAGUAGAAGGCAUCAAAGACGCAGCAAUGCAACUGUCAGCCUCGCCACAUAUACACACAUUUUUUGUUGCCUUGGGCGAAAAGAUUCAACAGUUGUUCCGAGGCGACCAGAGAAGGAACGUCUCCAAAGGGCAGGACUAGGUGAGCGGCGCAUAUGUUUCCGAGGUAUGUUAUCUACGUUAUUGUUGCUUGAACUAUUUUGCUGCUCUAAGACAGUAGAAAAAAUAUUGUAUUUCCAUAAUGUAAUGUUUAUAGUGUAACAACGUCCUGGUUCUGUCUCUCCAAAAAGCAAGACUGUAUGGUAACACAUAGAAUAAUUUUUAGGAAAAUUUUGGUGAAAACCUUCUGAAGCUCUUUCUGAAUUAUUUUGAAAAUUUACUGCUUGUUGUCUGUUUGUUUUAGAGCAGCACAGUGUAGCUGUGCACUUCCACUGAAAUGUGUUUUCUCUUUCUUAAGCCACGUAUUUUAAAAUUAAAACAGAGAUAACAUUUGUUCUUCUUGUUUUCAGUGGAAUUCAAAGACUCCAGUGAUAACAGAGUUUGGUGGUAAAGUGGGAUUUCUUAAUAUUGUGUGUUUAUUUUUCAGGUGACUGUUGGAGUUAUGGUAUAAAUUCCAUUCUGUUCAUUAUAAAUUAUCAUAUCUUCUGUUUGUAUAUUUUCUAUAAGUUGUUUUAUGUG
Archocentrus centrarchus (flier cichlid) is the source of this 1057-nucleotide long non-coding RNA. RefSeq lists it as uncharacterized. The transcript has 5 exons. NCBI's taxonomy places the organism in Eukaryota, Metazoa, Chordata, Actinopteri, Cichliformes, Cichlidae. The record is from RefSeq and is a predicted model, not a curated record.